UAUCAGAUUGAAACACCAGUUCUCAUACUAUCACCAAAGUUAAGCAAUGUCAAGCCUGGUCAGUACCUAGAUGAGUGGCCACUUGGGAAUACCAGGUACUGUAAG
Molecule: ribosomal RNA, 105 nt
Filed under: Acanthosepion pharaonis
Lineage: Eukaryota; Metazoa; Mollusca; Cephalopoda; Sepiida; Sepiidae
Source: RNAcentral